CGCUUUCAGCCGACCCACUUCUCCUCCCAUGGGACGUCUGUAAAAACAGCGGCACUCCUCCUCCCAGUCGCUGUUCGAUCUUCAGAAAGCCUGCCGCACCUCCUCCCGCGGCAGGCUUUUUUG
RNAcentral lists this small RNA (123 nucleotides) under Rhizobium leguminosarum bv. trifolii WSM1325. RNAcentral describes it as "Alphaproteobacterial ar14". It matches the Rfam family "Alphaproteobacterial ar14". From Rfam's summary of the family: Smr14C2 was renamed NfeR1 (Nodule Formation Efficiency RNA) highly expressed in salt stress and during the symbiotic interaction on legume roots. Lineage: Bacteria; Pseudomonadati; Pseudomonadota; Alphaproteobacteria; Hyphomicrobiales; Rhizobiaceae. The record is from Rfam by way of RNAcentral.